AUGAACGCUGGCGGCGUGCCUAAUCCAUGCCAGUCGAGCGAACGGACGAGAAGCUUGCUUCUCUGAUGUUAGCGGCGGACGGGUGAGUAACACGUGGAUAACCUACCUAUAAGACUGGGAUAACUUCGGGAAACCGGAGCUAAUACCGGAUAAUAUUUUGAAUCGCAUGGUUCAAAAGUGAAAGACGGUCUUGCUGUCACUUAUAGAUGGAUCCGCGCUGCAUUAGCUAGUUGGUAAGGUAACGGCUUACCAAGGCAACGAUGCAUAGCCGACCUGAGAGGGUGAUCGGCCACACUGGAACUGAGACACGGUCCAGACUCCUACGGGAGGCAGCAGUAGGGAAUCUUCCGCAAUGGGCGAAAGCCUGACGGAGCAACGCCGCGUGAGUGAUGAAGGUCUUCGGAUCGUAAAACUCUGUUAUUAGGGAAGAACAUAUGUGUAAGUAACUGUGCACAUCUUGACGGUACCUAAUCAGAAAGCCACGGCUAACUACGUG
RNAcentral lists this ribosomal RNA (496 nucleotides) under uncultured bacterium. RNAcentral's name for it is "partial 16S ribosomal RNA". It matches the Rfam family "Bacterial small subunit ribosomal RNA", at positions 29 to 507 of the family's 1533-position model. The record is from RNAcentral.